Molecule: ribosomal RNA, 504 nt
Filed under: uncultured bacterium
Lineage: Bacteria
Description: partial 16S ribosomal RNA
Rfam family: Bacterial small subunit ribosomal RNA
Source: RNAcentral
ACGAACGCUGGCGGCGUGCCUAAUACAUGCAAGUAGAACGCACAGUUUAUACCGUAGCUUGCUACACCAUAGACUGUGAGUUGCGAACGGGUGAGUAACGCGUAGGUAACCUGCCUGGUAGCGGGGGAUAACUAUUGGAAACGAUAGCUAAUACCGCAUAAUAUUAAUUAUUGCAUGAUAAUUAAUUGAAAGGUGCAAUUGCACCACUACCAGAUGGACCUGCGUUGUAUUAGCUAGUAGGUGAGGUAACGGCUCACCUAGGCGACGAUACAUAGCCGACCUGAGAGGGUGAUCGGCCACACUGGGACUGAGACACGGCCCAGACUCCUACGGGAGGCAGCAGUAGGGAAUCUUCGGCAAUGGACGAAAGUCUGACCGAGCAACGCCGCGUGAGUGAAGAAGGUUUUCGGAUCGUAAAGCUCUGUUGUAAGAGAAGAACGGGUGUGAGAGUGGAAAGCUCACACUGUGACGGUAUCUUACCAGAAAGGGACGGCUAACUACGUG